UGUAAUGACCUUGAGCAUGCCCAGCAGCAGUGACUGACAGGUGGUGGGGUAAGGUCCACACAAUGACUGGGCUGGGCCCGUGCACACUCUGUGGAAGCUGCAGUUACAGCUGCAACAGAGGAGGUGACACAGCCAUAACACCCGAUGGUGGGCCCACGGUCCUCAGAUCCCUUGACCUGAGCCUGACACAAACUCUCCUGGCCUCACAGCCAGCUGCACAUGGAGACACCUCUGUGUCCAUCCUACACUCAGGGAAGCCGAGGAACAGAAGCUCUGGAUGCUGCUGUCUGGGCCUCCCAAGACCUGGAUUACAGGUGUGCACCAUCACGCCCCUUCAUAUGCUGCUGCAGGGACAAUCCUGUGUUCUGAGCAUGCCAGGCAAGCGAGCACUGUACCAGGGGAACCCAGUCUUUACCCUCAGCAAGGUCUGAGAGGGUGACUCCUGGUCAUGAGUUCUCUCCCCCAAGUUCCAUCUGCCUUUCCCUUACUGUCUGGGGCCUGUGCAUAAAAGGUCAGCUGAUGUCCGACUCUCCUAAGGAGGGUCUGGACCUGACAGGGCGGCCACGUGUCAGCUUCUGUCCCAGCACACUCAUACUGCAGCCCUGGCAGGUUCUGCAGGACCCCAGCUGGCCUGUGCUCAGUCCCACUGCUGCCCCCUGCUGGCUCCCUAACCCAAGUCCUGGGCUCUGCUCUGCUUCCAGUCUGGACUCAGUUGGAUCCCCAUGGACACCCUGCUGUGGGUGUGAUUUCUGUCCAGGACGCUGUGGGCAGUCUCCUGCAGUGUGGUCCUGCUUCCCCAAACCAGUGGUGGGCCCUGUAGCCAUGAUGCUUUCCCAGGGGAGGGGACAUUCUGUGGAAGAGCAGCCUGGGCUUCUGGUGUGCACACAGGGGCUUUUGCAUACAUGUGACCAUGUUGAGUGUCACUGCAGUGUUGGGACCUUGGUGUGCCUCAGGUACAAGUGUGCCCUGACAGCACAGAAUAACAAGUUAAUGUAAUUUGAAACAAACAAAUAAAGAAAUAAACAAACAAACAAAAAUACCUUAAAAAUAACAAACAAACAAAAUACCUUAAGUGCUUUUGGUCAUAUGUGACUGUAAUUCUAACUUGUGAGAGGCAGAGGCACAUGCAUCUCUGAGAGUUUGGAGCUAGCCUGGUCUAUAGAUCCAGCUUCUCUGUCUCCAGAAAACCAGACCAAAAGAACAAACCCCCAUAUCAAUAUACCAUCCGGCUGAGCCCAGAAUCCCAGGGUUGACUGUCCAGGUGGAUGGAGUCCCGAGUCUCAAUGACUGAGGUUGUCCUCUGGGUUACACAUGUAUGAGCACACAAAUCAUUGAAGGCUCCUACACAUUUGAUUAGCUGUCACAGUACUCAUCCUGGGUGAACUUGGGUGCCCAGGCCAGGCUUUGUGACUCCUCCGAUUCUAGUUCCCGACAGUGUCCUGUACAGGCCUAUGCCACCAUGGCCAGCUUCCUCUACUCACAUUCUUCCUGACUGACUCAGGGCAGAGACACAAACCCAAACCCCGGUACCAUGAAGAGCCCAAUGUCUGCUCCGCAGUAGGACCAUAAUUUUUUUUGAGGCAGAUCAGAGUCCCAGUCUCACUACCUGUGUCUGACCAGGGGUUCAGCACCUGUUGAGAAUGUUGGUUGUGUGUAAAUCUUUGCUGUGGCCCCAUUGUGGUUUUCCCCUAUUGGACAAUGGAAAAGAACCUGGGAAGUCACGUGACCAUUUAAGCAACAGCUUUAAGGCCCAUCCCUUCUCUGUGCCCUGUUGUGUGUGGCAUGGGGCUGACAAAUGGACUCUUUAGAUGACUAGACAGACCUUAGUCAUGCCAUUCUGCUUGAGUGACCACUUCAGGGAUGCUCAGAGAAAGACCACCCAGCUGUCAGGCCCACUGUGACCAUGGCUGCUGCUGGGUUUCUCCUCAGUGGGCCUGGGUCCAGUUAGACAUGUCCAGACUGUCCCAGCUGCCCCAGGAGACUUCACUUUAGCCAGGAGAAGCCUUGGUGACCUCCCCAUUUCCCUGCCUACUUCCAGAGAGGCUCGUGGGGUUGGCAAUGACUUGGUCCAGGGCUGUGACUAAGGUACAAUUGGGUCUUGUGGCUGGAGGAAUAAGGGCUGCAUUUAUGCCUCCCUGAGACUGACCAUCUCUACCAGGCUUGGCCAGGAACAUCUUCUGCCUGUAAGAGCAGCCUGGUUCCAGUCUUAUGGGCAGUCAGGAUGCUGUCCUGGGUCCUGGCAUUCUCUUAGGGAGAAGCUGACCCUGUGAAUAUCAAAUGUUAAGAAAUGCUGGACUUGGAACAGAAGUCUGGUCCUAGGAGAUAGCCCAGAGGCCAGAACAUCAACAUGACAGGAAGUAAGUGUCCCAACCGGCAGGAGUUCAAAGGGUUCCUAAAGGAGAAGGUGAAAAGAAUGGGAGGACAGAGAGACAUGAAGAAGGAAGCCUAGUCUGUUUGUCUUAUCAAGCCCUUGCUUAUUAGAAAUUUUCACCCAACUUGUAUAGGGAGAAGGCAGGAAAGGGGGGAGGCGAAUUCCUGCUGUGGGAGAUAGCAAAAGUGCUUUCAUGGCUUGAUUAUUGCACAUGCAAGAUGCCAUAAGGAUGUUUUCUUAAGAUAUCUCACAGAUGCUCUAAGACUAACAGACGAUGUCCUCACAAACCUAUCACCCAUGACUUAGGGUCCUAGAUAACCCUUUCACUAAAUAGCUAUAGGUCUCCACUAAAUGACCUUUGCUCGCUAUUUGGCUUUGGUUUCAGUAAAUACGUUUGGCUCCCGGCAAAUUAGGAAGUGAGUGCAUAUAUUAGACUAGUGAGGAAAGAAUGCUAACAUGGACCCAAGCAGCCAUGGCCUGUGGCUGACCCACCUGCGGAACUUUAGUUAUUGGGUGGGAUACGAGAAGGCCUUCCCCUUUAAGGCAAAACGGGCGAGAAAGAAGAAUGAGACCAAGCUAAGUCUUGUCAAGGUCUGUUUAUUGUAAGCCAGGGUACAGACUAUAAAGGAGGAAAAGGAGGGAAUGGGGAGGAGGAAGGUGAGGUGUUAGGAGGGAGGAUUUCGAGCUGGAAUUUGCAUUGACUCCAGCUCAAAGGCAGGGGCUGUUAGUGCAGCUGUCUGAGGGCUACUAUCUUGCAAAUUCCCUCAGUAAGCCUUUUCUGUGCUAAUCUAUUCCUGACAUCUUGAGUCAACCUUUUUCUAAGGAAGGAAUGCUUUGUCUCCCAGCUCAAGGGUUGGUCAGAGGGACUGUCUGUCUUUGACUCAGGGUCAGUCUGAGAGAUUUCUCUGGCUCAUGGCUCAGGGUCAGUCUUUGGCAUGUGUCCUGAUGUGGAGCAUGGAGGCUGAGGCUGUGGACGAGAUGGCAGUGUCAGGGAGUAAGGGAGAGAGGAGGCAGGAUUCUCAGGCAGUGGAUCUGUGUGGACCAUGGUCCUUGCCUCUCUCCCUGUGACUUGUGUCCUGAUGCAAUCUUCCACUCUCUGAGAGUCCCAUAUGGGGUGUGUGGGAGCAGGGUCAGGGGAGACUGUGAGAUGGAAUUCUGGGAGAAAGACAUUUAUUAAAAGUGUUAUUGACUGCAGGACACACAGGGAACAGCACAGUCAUGCUCACAUGUCCACAGACAAACAGAAUGACGUAGGUCCAAGGACAGGAAAUCAGAGCCCACAAGGCAGAAGUGGGGUUCUCUUCUUGCUGUCCAAGGACAGAUGUUCCCAGCACCAUCCUGCAGCCACGUGCUCUGAUUCCCAGGCAGGAGGCAGGGAAAGGGUGGGAAGCAGGGUGUGAGGCCACCAGUCACUACUGUGAUGUCAGCUCCCCUCCCUGGUGAGAGAUCCUGGCACCUGGAGGUCUGUUAGCUAAGGUCUCACCAACAAGGUCUCCCCAGGCACCUGUGUGUGACCCUGAAAGGGAGUCACUCUUUCCAGAGUCACUGUUCACUUUGUACUAUUUGGGUCCCCAGGAAGUAAACCCAGGUCAGCAGGCUGGCGGGAGGCUCUUCUUCCCACAAAGCUAUCUCACUGACUCACGAUAUUUUAUGUCCAUUUAUUUAUAAUUUCAAAAUCCAUAAUUCAAAUAAAAUUAGAAAAAUGUUACAUCCAUGAUUCAUCACCAAAGGAAUCCACAUGUUUUUAAAGACAUGGACUCUUGUUGGCCUGGAACUCACCAGUUAAUUCAGCAUAGCUGGACAUCCAGCCCCAAGACUCUCCAUGUCUCUUGCUUGUUUAGGGCUGGAAUUACAAGUUCCUGCCCACCUCUGGCUUAUAAUAUGGUUGCUCAUGGUCCAACUUCGGUCCUCCUACCCAUGAGCAAUGCUUCUAUGACUGGACCAUCUCUCUGAGCCAUUCUCUCAUGUUCUUUUUUCCACAGAAACAUUCUCUCAUCUUCUGUGCCUGAUCGCCAGACUGCCUCUGGUCAUGAUGCCACAGGAGCCAGGGACAACAGCCUAGGUGGUGGACUGACUAGUCGUCACUGUCCUUUUGAUUUGUACAUAUAUAUAGCUUAUAAUUUCUCAGAUCUCUGAUCACAUGAUGGCUACGCUAGGCUAAUGAUAGCUUUGCUGCUAAAUGCAGACAAUUAGAUCCACUGUAAGUUCAUCGGUCUAUUCAUUAGCUAGUUAGAACUACUAAGUACUAGAUCUUUUAUUUAGAAAAUUAAAGAAGGUUGCCUUGGGCACAAGCUUCAUAUUAAUUGCCUAUGUCUUUGAGUGAAAAACUGUACAGAAAAAUGCAAAGUUUAUGUAAGGUAGGAGGAUAUGAAAGUUUAAGUUAUGAGGAUAUAAAAAAUUGUUUAAUGGUCUAGGAAAAUGUUUCAAAGUUGAUAAGUUCAAGAAAGAUUGGAGGGUCUAAAAAGGUGUUUUAAGGUAUGUGAAUGUAAAUUGUAGUGAUAUAAAAGAAUUGGGAGAUAUAUCAGAUUUCUCCCUCCCCUCUGCUAUUGUUGUUCCUAUCUUAUAAAAUUUCAGAAGUUCAGAGUUAGGACAUGGAUCAAUAGAGUUCUGAUAAGCUGAUGGAGCACUGAGUGCUUAUCAUUCAGUCACAAGCUUGAGAUUUUAAUUUCCUUUUGAUUGUCUUCUGAACAUAAACUUAAAGGUGCCUUUCAUCAUGCUAAACACAUCUGGCUAAUGUGUGUCUAUCUGACCCAAAAGCUGUAGCUUUUAUGAAGUCUUAAUGGCAUGAAUCUACUCCUGCUGGCUCGUAGACACCUGUUAACUGCUCUUUCUAAAGUAUGGAUCUUAAUACAAUGGUGAUACAAUAUACUUCCUUUUGGAAACUAAAAUUGACAAGAGUUUCAGAAAAUCAAAAACUCAGAAGACCUGGAAUGGCAUAGCUCAAACAGACCCCAGAUGAGUUUUCCCCUUUGUCUUGGGGUUCCUCACUUUUCCUAAUUACUAGACAAAUUUUAACUUGUAUCUCUAGUCUGAAUUUGUCUCAGCAGAUGUUCACCUGGCCGACAGAAUCUGUUCGGGGAUCAGCUAUGGAUUGCAAGCUGAAAUUUGGACUUGCUGGAAGCUGACAUGAUUGCUCCCUGACUCUCCAGGUGGAUCAACUAACCAGACACUUCUGAGGACUGCACCAGUGCCCAGCCUAUGGCUGGCAUUUUACCCUUCCUGGACCCUGAUGGGCCCAUGGUCCUCAGAUCCCUUGACCUGAGCCUGACACAAAUUCUCCUGGCCUCCCAGCCAUCUGCACAUGGAGACACUUCUGUGUCCAUCCUACACUCAGGGAAGCCGAGGAACAGAGGCUCUGGGUGAGUCACCCCAGAUGGACAGUCAGUCAGGAGAGGGGUCUGGGCCGACUGUCUCUGUCACAACGUGCUUUCUAUCUGUUUGUUUCUGAGUUUUUAAAAUGGAUGUCAAUUACACCAAACUGAACCUUGAACUUCUUAUGAAGCCAAGGCUGACAUUGAACUCCUCCAGAUGCUGCUGUCUGGCCCUCCAAGACCUGGAUUACACGUGUGCACCAUCACACCCCUUCCUCUGCUCCUGCAGGGAGAAUCCUGGUUCUGAGCAUGCCAGGCAAGCGAGCACUGUACCAGGGGAACCCUGUCUUUACCCUCAGCAAGGUCUGCGAGGGUAUCUCCUGGCCAUGAGUUCUCUCCUCCAGGUUCCAUCUGCAUUUCCCUCACUGUCUGGGGCCUGUGGGUAAAAGGUCAGCUGAUGGCUGACUCUCCCAAGGAGGGUCUGGACCUGACAGGAUGGCCACAUGUCAGCUCCUGUGUCCCAGCACACUUACAGCAGCCCUGGCAGGUUCUGCAGGACCACAGCUGGCCUGUGCUCAGCCCCACUGCUGCUCUCUGCUGGCUCCCUAACCCAAGUCCUGAGCUCUGCUCUUGUUCCACUCUGGACUCAGUUGGAUCCCCAUGGACACCCUGCUGUGGGUGUGAUUUCUGUCCAGGACGCUAUGGGCAGUCUCCUGCAGUGUGGUCCUGCUUCCCCAAACCAGUGACUGGGCCCUGCAGCCAUGCUGUUUUCCCAGGGGAGGGCAUGUUCUGUGGAAGAGCAGCCUGGGGUUCUGGUGUUCCCACAGGGGCUUUUGCAUACAUGUGACCACAGGGAGUGUCACCUGGGUGUGUCUCAGGUACAAGUGUGCCCUCAUGCUACAGAAUAACAAGUAAAUGUAAUUUGAAAAAUAAACCUUAAGUGUGA
This is a long non-coding RNA of Meriones unguiculatus (Mongolian gerbil), 6628 nucleotides long. RefSeq lists it as uncharacterized. The transcript has 4 exons. Lineage: Eukaryota; Metazoa; Chordata; Mammalia; Rodentia; Muridae. The record is from RefSeq and is a predicted model, not a curated record.